GACGAACGCUGGCGGCGUGCUUAACACAUGCAAGUCGAACGGAAAGGCCCUGCUUUUGUGGGGUGCUCGAGUGGCGAACGGGUGAGUAACACGUGAGUAACCUGCCCUUGACUUUGGGAUAACUUCAGGAAACUGGGGCUAAUACCGGAUAGGAGCUCCUGCUGCAUGGUGGGGGUUGGAAAAUUUCGGCGGUUGGGGAUGGACUCGCGGCUUAUCAGCUUGUUGGUGGGGUAGUGGCUUACCAAGGCUUUGACGGGUAGCCGGCCUGGGAGGGUGACCGGCCACAUUGGGACUGGGAUACGGCCCAGACUCCUACGGGAGGCAGCAGUGGGGAAUAGUGCACAAUGGGCGGAAGCCUGAUGCAGCAACGCCGCGUGCGGGAUGACGGCCUUCGGGUUGUAAGCCGCUUUCGCCUGUGACGAAGCGUGAGGGACGGUAAUGGGUAAAGAAGCACCGGCUAACUACGUG
RNAcentral lists this ribosomal RNA (468 nucleotides) under uncultured bacterium. RNAcentral's name for it is "partial 16S ribosomal RNA". It matches the Rfam family "Bacterial small subunit ribosomal RNA", at positions 28 to 507 of the family's 1533-position model. The record is from RNAcentral.